This is a long non-coding RNA of Talpa occidentalis (Iberian mole), 653 nucleotides long. RefSeq lists it as uncharacterized. Lineage: Eukaryota; Metazoa; Chordata; Mammalia; Eulipotyphla; Talpidae. The transcript is spliced from 4 exons. The record is from RefSeq and is a predicted model, not a curated record.
CUGAGGGUAGUGGGAACCCCCACAUCUGUAGCCAGGUAGGCAGCACGUUGGUCAGCUGGCAGCUUACGGGGUGCCACCUCGCCCCUAGGACACCCUUCUGCCAGUGAGUCCAGCUCAGCCAAAGCCAGAGCUCACCUGACUGCAAAUCUCACCAGUGUGACAAGAGUGACAGAGCCACCGGCCCCUGCUCUGCAACACCAAGAGGAUCAACAUUACUCACCACCGCUCGUGCAAGAAGAAGGGUCCACCGCCAGCACAGACAGCCUGUGCCCUCUCGCAGGCCACCAAGCCCAAUGGAGCAUCUGAGUGACAGAGCUGCAGCGGCUACCUUUCCUGAAGGCUGAUCACCUGCGAGGUGGUGUUCCUGCUCUUGCAGGGAAGACUUGUGAUGUGACAGAAGAACUCUAACUUGACAGUUUUCUGUGAUCCAGUCUUUCAGCCACUACAGAUGGAGAACCUACUGUGUGCCUCGGCACCGUGCCAGGCACUAGAACAUCCCAUGUGGGGAUGACUUCAUGACGUCUGCCAUCCAGCCAAGACAGUGCCGACCUCCAGGCUUCUCUUGGGAUGACUCUCAUCUACUCUCACCACACAGCUCCAAGCACUCUGAUCUGCACACAGGCCCCAGAAUUGGCCACAAUAAAGCUUGGCCA